UUGUGAUUGUUUUGUGUGUAUGUCUGUGUGUGUAAAUGUGUGUUUGUGUGUGUAUGUAUAUGUGUAUGUGAGUGUAUGUGUUUGUGUGUAUGUGUUUGUGCGUAUGUGUGUGUACAUCUGUGUUUAUAUUUUUUGUUUGUGUAUGUGUAUGUGUUUCUGUGAUUACUUUGUGUCUGUGUGAAUGUGUGUGUGUUUGUGUGUAUAUGUUUUCCUGUGUGUGUAUGUUUGUAUGUGCAUAUGUACGUGUUUCUAUAUAAUUGCUUGUUUACAUUAGUAAUGAUACUUGUCAUAUUGUACUAUACAUAUGUAAGUUUUAUGACCAUUUAAUCUAAUAACUGCGCUUUCCAGAAACCAACCCUCCACUGCUUCGAUUGAAAAAGGGGAGUAUGGUUGGGCUGACCUGGUCGUGAGCAUUGAAAAAACUUUUGUUUGGAUUGUGUCAUCGCUGUUGGCACAAUCGGUGCCCUGGGAGCUUCAAGGGGGCUCUGUGCGAGUGCUAGGAGCCUUGUGGCUCUUAGUGGCACUAGUCCUGAGCUCGGUAUACCGGUCCAACUUGAAGGCUAUGCUUAUUUUACCGCGAGUAACGAUUCCAUUUGAUAAUCUGGAAGAACUAGUGCAGAAGGGCAUCCCAACCAAUGUAUAUGCAGGCACCCGGCUCCAUAGAGACAUUUUAAACGCCCCAGCGAACAGCACUUUAGGGAAGUUAAGGGACCAAAUUGAAACCAUUGUUGACGGCAGAGAAAUGAUUACAAAGACUCUGAUGGGCACACACGUAGCCAUGGGACCACGAACAUCAUACGAAUGGGCUCUUCAUGAUUUGUUUUCAGUGGUGGGUAUAUAUUAAUUCCAACUUUAUGAUU
Molecule: long non-coding RNA, 860 nt
Organism: Penaeus indicus
Lineage: Eukaryota; Metazoa; Arthropoda; Malacostraca; Decapoda; Penaeidae
Exons: 3
Source: RefSeq, a predicted model, not a curated record